Molecule: unclassified non-coding RNA, 382 nt
Filed under: Bombus terrestris (buff-tailed bumblebee)
Lineage: Eukaryota; Metazoa; Arthropoda; Insecta; Hymenoptera; Apidae
Description: misc RNA ENSBTSG00005022420.1
Source: RNAcentral
GUACGGGCAAGUAGAGAAAAUGAGCCUUUAAGAUCUAAUAUCCUAAAAUUCUUCUUUUCUGCUAAUGAAUUUAAUUAUCCCGAGUUGUUGACUCAAUUAUCUUGUUGAGUGCUCGAAAAUCUAUACACAUUCUUACCUUUCCGUUUUUUCUCCGUUAGAACCACCAGUUAAAUAUAUUUGGAUGUGUUGUUUCAGAUGAUACCUCCGCUAAUCAGACCAUAUAAUAUGCGUUACAAUUUAGCUGUUUCAUUGUACGAAAGUCCAUGCGGUGCACGUGGGAACGGUUUGUCAUUUGUAAGUACGCGAAGAACAGAAUAUCAGCUUCGGAUCCAGGCGGAGUAGAUUAUCUUAUUCUUUAGUCUCUUCUGAUGAAACGAAAUAU